ACUCAAAGGAAUAGACGGGGGCCCGCACAAGCGGUGGAGUAUGUGGCUUAAUUCGAUGCAACGCGAAGAACCUUACCUGGCCUUGACAUGCAGGAGACCGGAAAUGAAAGUUUCCCUUCCGCAAGGACUGCUGCACAGGUGCUGCAUGGCUGUCGUCAGCUCGUGUCGUGAGAUGUUGGGUUAAGUCCCGCAACGAGCGCAACCCUUGUGAACUGUUGCCGAGGUUAAUACCGAGGCUCUCUGUUCAGACUGCCCUGUGAAACGGGGAGGAAGGUGGGGAUGACGUCAAGUCAGCAUGGCCCUUACGGCCAGGGCUGCACACGUACUACAAUGCCCAGUACAGAACGAUCCAAAACCGCGAGGUGGAGGAAAUCCUGAAAACUGGGCCCAGUUCGGAUUGGAGGCUGCAACUCGCCUCCAUGAAGCCGGAAUCGCUAGUAAUGGCGCAUCAGCUACGGCGCCGUGAAUACGUUCCCGGGCCUUGUACACACCGCCCGU
RNAcentral lists this ribosomal RNA (498 nucleotides) under uncultured bacterium. RNAcentral describes it as "partial 16S ribosomal RNA". It matches the Rfam family "Bacterial small subunit ribosomal RNA", at positions 899 to 1397 of the family's 1533-position model. The record is from RNAcentral.